RNAcentral lists this ribosomal RNA (489 nucleotides) under uncultured bacterium. RNAcentral describes it as "bacterial SSU rRNA". It matches the Rfam family "Bacterial small subunit ribosomal RNA", at positions 30 to 507 of the family's 1533-position model. The record is from RNAcentral.
UUGAACGCUGGCGGCAUGCCUAACACAUGCAAGUCGAACGGCAGCACAGCAGUAGCAAUACUGUGGGUGGCGAGUGGCGGACGGGUGAGGAAUACGUCGGAAUCUGCCCAGUCGUGGGGGAUAACUAGCCGAAAGGUUAGCUAAUACCGCAUACGACCGAGAGGUGAAAGCGGGGGACCGCAAGGCCUCGCGCGAUUGGAUGAGCCGACGUCGGAUUAGCUAGUUGGCGGGGUAAAGGCCCACCAAGGCGACGAUCCGUAGCUGGUCUGAGAGGAUGAUCAGCCACACUGGAACUGAGACACGGUCCAGACUCCUACGGGAGGCAGCAGUGGGGAAUAUUGGAUAAUGGGCGCAAGCCUGAUCCAGCAAUGCCGCGUGUGUGAAGAAGGCCUUCGGGUUGUAAAGCACUUUUAUCAGGAACGAAAAGCGUUGGAUUAAUACUCUGACGUGCUGACGGUACCUGAGGAAUAAGCACCGGCUAACUUCGUG